CGGUGGCUCACUCCUGGAAUCCCAGCACUUUGGGAGCCCGAGGUGGGCGGAUCACGAGGUCAGGAGAUCGAGACUGUUCUGGCUAAACCAGUGAAACCCCCUCUCUACUAAAAAAAUAACAAAAGCGAAGUGGAUCUCCCAUAAACGAGGUACUGCAGGAAGAAAGCAGAAAAUGAGACCCGAGUACACACAUGCACGCGGGCGUGCGCACACACACACCAGAAGAAAUGAACCAAGAGGAAAGGAAAUAUUUUCAAGUAAGCAUUUGGAGAUGGGAAAAACACCUUGAAACAGAAAUUCAUAAAGUACAGACAUGUUUUUUUUUUUAAGUUAAAAGAGGAACAAUAAUAAACAGGCAGAAAAUGAAUAAAAAAUAAAAUGUCAUAUCAGAAGUGAAGAUAAAUUAAAAGUGAUCAAAGGAGAAGAGAUCUAAAUGCAAACUUAAGAAGGGGCAAUUUUUUUUUUUUUUUUUUUUUUUUGAGACGCAGCCUCACUCUGCCGCCCGGGCUCGCAGCCUCACUCUGUUGCCCGGGCUGGAGUGCAGUGGCGUGAUCUUGGCUCACUGACACCUCUGCCUCCUGGAGUCAAGCGAUUCUCCUGCCUCAGCCUCCCAAGUGGCUGGGAUUACAGGCAUGAGCCACCAUGCCCGGCCUAGAGUCAACAUGGAAAUUAAACAACCUGCUUCCAAAUGACUUUUGGGUAAAGACUGAAAUUAAGGCAGAAAUAAAAAAAUUAUUUGAAACUAAUGAAAACAAACAUACAACAUCCCAGAAUCUCUGGGACACAGCUAGAACAGUGCUCAAAGGAAGUUUAUAGUGCUAAGUGGCUACAUCAAGAAGCUAGAAAGAUCUCAAAUGAACAGCCUAACAUCACACCUAGAGGAAUUAGAAAAACAAGAGCAAAUCAACCCCAAAGCUAGCAGAAGAAAAAAAAACACCAAAAUCAGAGCUGAGCUGAAUGAAAUUGAGAUGUAAAAAAUCAUAGAAAAGAUCAAUGAAACCCAAAGUUGAUUUUUUAAAAAAAUUAUUUAUUUAUUAUUUCUUCCAUAAAUUAUGGGGUACAGGUGGUAUUUGGUAACAUAAGCUCUUUAGUGGUGAUUUGUGAUUUUGGUGCACCCAUCACCUGAGCAGUAUACACUACACCCUAUUUGUUGUCUGUUAUCCCUCGCCCCCGCCAACUCGUCCCCCUACGUCCCCAAAGUCCAUUGUAUCAUUGUUACGCCUUUGCGUCCUCAUAGCUUAGCUCCCACAUAUCAGUGAGAACAUACGAUGUUUGGCUUUCCAUUCCUGAGUUACUUCACUUAGAAUAAUAGUCUCCGGUCUCAUCCAGGUCACGGCAAAUGCUGUUAAUUCAUACAAAGUUGAUAUUUUCGAAAGCACAAAUAACAUGGAAAGACCACUAGCUAGAUUAAUAAAGGAAAAAAGACAAGAUCCAAAUAAACACAAUCAGAAAUGACAGAGGUGACAUUACCACUGACCCACAGACAUACAAGAAACCCUGAGACUAUUCCACAUGCCUCUAUGCACACAAACUAGAAAACUAGAAGAAAUAGAUAAAUUCCUGGAAACAUAAAACCUCUCAAGAUUGAACCAGGAAGAAAUGGAAACCCUGAACAAACCAACGAUGAGUUCCAAAAUUGAGUUAGUCAUACAAGACCUACCAACCAGCACAAAAAACCUUAGACUAGACGGAUUCACAGUCGAAUUCUACCAGAUGUGUAAAGAAAAGCCGGCACCAAUCCUACUGAAAUUAUUCCACACAAUUGAGGAGGAGCAACUGCUCUCUAACUCAUUCUAUGAAGUCAGAGUCAUUCUGAUACCGAAACCUGGCAGAGACACAACGAAAAAAGGAAAAUAGGUAAAGUAAUACAUAUGUUAAUGAUCUUGAUUUAGCCAUUCUACGGUAUAUACAUAUUUCAAAACAAUAUGUACAUGAUAAAUAUGUACAAUUUGUCAAUUAAAAAUAUAUAAAAGGAAGAGGAAAAAAUUCAACUGGCGCAGAAUUUGAAAGGAGAAGAUACAGAACAAACUCCAGUCUCUUCUUUAUUCAACUAUAUAUACACACAUUCAAUGGACCAGGAGCAGUGGCUCAAGCCUGUAAUCACAGCACUUUGGGAGGUCAAGGCGGGCAGAUCACCUGAGGUCGGGAGUUCGAGACCAGCCUGACCAACAGAGAGAAACCCCAGCUCUACUAAAAAUACAAAAUUAGCCGGGCAUGGUGACGCAUGCCUGUAAUCCCAGCUACUCGGGAGGGUGAGGCAGGAGAAUCGCUUGAACUCAAGAGGUGGAGGUUGUGGUGAGCCGAGAUGGCACCAUUGCACUCCAGCCUGG
RNAcentral lists this long non-coding RNA (2330 nucleotides) under Homo sapiens (human). RNAcentral's name for it is "non-protein coding lnc-IZUMO2-2:1". The record is from RNAcentral. Lineage: Eukaryota; Metazoa; Chordata; Mammalia; Primates; Hominidae.